Molecule: non-coding RNA, 75 nt
Organism: Desmophyllum pertusum
Lineage: Eukaryota; Metazoa; Cnidaria; Anthozoa; Scleractinia; Caryophylliidae
Source: the annotation of a GenBank genome assembly
GUCUCUCCGUAGCUCAGUGGUUGAAGCAUCCGAUCGGUGUACGGAAGGUCAUGGGUUUGAAUCUCGUCGGGGACU